AUCUCUGCUCGCAGUUUCAGGAAGGCCUGUGGCUGCUCUAGGAGUUUGAUCAGUCAUUGCCCCAGUUUGACAGAAGGAAAGGCGGAGCUUAUUCAAAGUCUAGAGGGAGUGGAGGAGUCAAGGCUGGAUUUCAGAUCUGCCUGGUUCCAGCCGCAGUGUGCCCUCUGCUCCCCCGACGACUUUCCAAAUAAUCUCACCAGCGCCUUCCAGCUCAGGCGUCCUAGAAGCGUCUUGAAGCCUGUGGCCAGCUGUCUUUGUGUUCCCUCUCACCCGCCUGUCCCCACAGCUGAGACUCCCAGGAAACCUUCAGACCACCUUCCUCUGCCUUCAGCAAGGGGCUUUGCCCACAUUCUCUGAGGGCGUUCGGAUGGGCAGUCUGGGGCUGUUCCUGCAGUGCACCAUCUCCCUGGUCUUCUCUCUGGUCAUGGACCGGCUGGUGCAGCGGUUCGGCACUCGAGCAGUCUAUUUGGCCAGUGUGGCAGCUUUCCCUGUGGCUGCCGGUGCCACAUGCCUCUCCCACAGUGUGGCCGUGGUGACGGCUUCAGCCGCCCUCACCGGGUUCACCUUCUCAGCCCUGCAGAUCCUGCCCUACACACUGGCUUCCCUCUACCACCGGGAGAAGCAGGUGUUCCUGCCCAAAUACCGAGGGGACGCUGGAGGCGCUAGCAGUGAGGACAGCCUGAUGACCAGCUUCCUGCCAGGCCCUAAGCCUGGAGCUCCCUUCCCUAAUGGACACAUGGGUGCUGGAGGCAGUGGCCUGCUCCCGCCUCCGCCCGCGCUCUGCGGGGCCUCUGCCUGCGACGUCUCCGUACGUGUGGUGGUGGGUGAGCCCACCGAGGCAAGGGUGGUUCCGGGCCGGGGCAUCUGCCUGGACCUCGCCAUCCUGGAUAGUGCCUUCCUGCUGUCCCAGGUGGCCCCGUCCCUGUUUAUGGGCUCCAUCGUCCAGCUCAGCCAGUCUGUCACUGCCUAUAUGGUGUCUGCUGCAGGCCUGGGUCUGGUCGCCAUUUACUUUGCUACACAGGUAGUAUUUGACAAGAGCGACUUGGCCAAAUACUCAGUGUAGAACACUUCCAGCACAUUGGAGUGGAGGGCCUGCCUCACUGGGUCCCAGCUCCCCACUCCUGUUAGCCCCAUGGGGCUGCCGGGCUGGCCGCCAGUUUCUGUUGCUGCCAAAGUAAUGUGGCUCUCUGCUGCCACCCUGUGCUGCUGAGGUGCAUAGCUGCACAGCUGGGGGCUGGGGCGUCCCUCUGCUCUCUCCCCAGUCUCUAGGGCCGCCUGACUGGAGGCCUUCCAAGGGGGUUUCGGUCUGGACUUCUACAGGGAGGCCGGAAGGGCUCCAUGCACUGGAAUGCGGGGACUCUGCAGGUGGAUUACCCAGGCUCAGGGUUAACAGCUAGCCUUCUGGUUGAGACACACCUAGAGAAGGGUUUUUGGGAGCUGAAUAAACUCAGUCACCUGGUUUCCCACCUCUUAGCCCCUUAACCUGCAGCUUCAUUUAAUGUAGCUCUUGCAUGGGAGUUUCUAGGAUGAAACACUCCUCCGUGGGAUUUGAACAUAUAUGAAAGUUAUUUGUAGGGGAAGAGUCCUGAGGGGCAACACACAAGAACUAGGUACCCUCAGCCCACAGCACUGUCUUUUUGCUGAUCCACCCCGCUCUUACCUUUUAUCAGGAUGUGGCCUGUUGGUCCCUCUGUUGCCAUCACAGGGACACAGGCAUUUAAAUAUUUAACUUAUUUAUUUAACAAAGUAGAAGGGAAUCCAUUGCUAGCUUUUCUGUGUUGGUGUCUAAUAUUUGGGUAGGGUGGGAUCCCCAACAGUCAGGUCCCCUGAGAUAUCUGGCCAUUGGGCUGAUCAUUGCCAGAAUCUUCUUCUCCUGGGGUCUGGCCCCCCAAAAUGCCUAACCCAGGACCUUGGAAAUUCUACUCAUCCCAAAUGAUAAUUCCAAAUGCUGUUACCCAAGGUUAGGGUGUUGAAGGAAGGUGGAGGGUGGGGCUUCCGGUCUCAACGGCUUCCCUAACCACCCCUCUUCUCUUGGCCCAGCCUGGUUCGCCCCACUUCCACUCCCCUCUACUCUCUCUAGGACUGGGGUGAUGAAGGCACUGCCCGAAAUUUCCCCUACCCCCAACUUUCCCCACUGGCUCCACAACCCUGUUUGGAGCUAUUGCUGGACCAGAAGCACAAAGUGUGGUUUCCCAAGCCUUUGUCCAUCUCAGCCCCCAGAGUAUAUCUGUGCUUGGGGAAUCUCACACAGAAACUCAGGAGCACCCCCUGCCUGAGCUAAGGGAGGUCUUAUCUCUCAGGGGGGUUUAAGUGCCGUUUGCAAUAAUGUCGUCUUAUUUAUUUAGCGGGGUGAAUAUUUUAUACUGUAAGUGAGCAAUCAGAGUAUAAUGUUUAUGGUGACGAAAUUAAAGGCUUUCUUAUAUGUUUA
This 2428-nucleotide small RNA is filed under the name Pongo abelii (Sumatran orangutan). Its description in RNAcentral is "processed transcript". Lineage: Eukaryota; Metazoa; Chordata; Mammalia; Primates; Hominidae. The record is from RNAcentral.